GGCGUAGGGCGCGAGCGUUGUCCGGAUUUAUUGGGCGUAAAGAGCUCGUAGGCGGCUUGUCGCGUCAACUGUGAAAACCCGUGGCUCAACCAUGUGGUCUGCAGUCGAUACGGGCAGGCUAGAAUUCGGUAGGGGAGACUGGAAUUCCUGGUGUAGCGGUGAAAUGCGCAGAUAUCAGGAGGAACACCGGUGGCGAAGGCGGGUCUCUGGGCCGAUAUUGACGCUGAGGAGCGAAAGCGUGGGGAGCGAACAGG
This 254-nucleotide ribosomal RNA is filed under the name uncultured bacterium. RNAcentral's name for it is "partial 16S ribosomal RNA". It matches the Rfam family "Bacterial small subunit ribosomal RNA", at positions 524 to 776 of the family's 1533-position model. The record is from RNAcentral.